UAGGGAAUCUUCGGCAAUGGGGGCAACCCUGACCGAGCAACGCCGCGUGAGUGAAGAAGGUUUUCGGAUCGUAAAGCUCUGUUGUAAGAGAAGAACGUGUGUGAGAGUGGAAAGUUCACACAGUGACGGUAACUUACCAGAAAGGGACGGCUAACUACGUGCCAGCUGCCGCGGUAAUACGUAGGUCCCGAGCGUUGUCCGGAUUUAUUGGGCGUAAAGCGAGCGCAGGCGGUUUAAUAAGUCUGAAGUUAAAGGCAGUGGCUUAACCAUUGUUCGCUUUGGAAACUGUUAAACUGGAGUGCAGAAGGGGAGAGUGGAAUUCCAUGUGUAGCGGUGAAAUGCGUAGAUAUAUGGAGGAACACCGGUGGCGAAAGCGGCUCUCUGGUCUGUAACUGACGCUGAGGCUCGAAAGCGUGGGGAGCAAACAGG
RNAcentral lists this ribosomal RNA (429 nucleotides) under bacterium. RNAcentral's name for it is "partial 16S ribosomal RNA". It matches the Rfam family "Bacterial small subunit ribosomal RNA", at positions 355 to 776 of the family's 1533-position model. The record is from RNAcentral.